RNAcentral lists this ribosomal RNA (497 nucleotides) under uncultured bacterium. RNAcentral's name for it is "partial 16S ribosomal RNA". It matches the Rfam family "Bacterial small subunit ribosomal RNA", at positions 28 to 507 of the family's 1533-position model. The record is from RNAcentral.
GAUGAACGCUGGCGGCGUGCCUAAUACAUGCAAGUCGAGCGAACAGACGAGGAGCUUGCUCCUUUGACGUUAGCGGCGGACGGGUGAGUAACACGUAGGUAACCUACCUAUAAGACUGGGAUAACUUCGGGAAACCGGAGCUAAUACCGGAUAAUAUUUCGAACCGCAUGGUUCGAUAGUGAAAGAUGGCUUUGCUAUCACUUAUAGAUGGACCUGCGCCGUAUUAGCUAGUUGGUAAGGUAACGGCUUACCAAGGCAACGAUACGUAGCCGACCUGAGAGGGUGAUCGGCCACACUGGAACUGAGACACGGUCCAGACUCCUAAGGGAGGCAGCAGUAGGGAAUCUUCCGCAAUGGGCGAAAGCCUGACGGAGCAACGGCGCGUGAGUGAUGAAGGUCUUCGGAUCGUAAAACUCUGUUAUUAGGGAAGAACAAACGUGUAAGUAACUGUGCACGUCCUGACGGUACCUAAUCAGAAAGCCACGGCUAACUACGUG